Molecule: ribosomal RNA, 973 nt
Filed under: Maublancomyces montanus
Lineage: Eukaryota; Fungi; Ascomycota; Pezizomycetes; Pezizales; Discinaceae
Description: Gyromitra montana partial large subunit ribosomal RNA
Rfam family: Eukaryotic large subunit ribosomal RNA
Source: RNAcentral
GUACCCGCUGAACUUAAGCAUAUCAAUAAGCGGAGGAAAAGAAACCAACAGGGAUUGCCUCAGUAACGGCGAGUGAAGCGGCAACAGCUCAAAUUUUAAAGCUGGCGUCCUCGACGCCCGCGUUGUAAUUUGGAGAGGCAUCUUCGGUUUGGGCGCCAGCCUAUGUUCCUUGGAACAGGACGUCACAGAGGGUGAGAAUCCCGUGCUUGGCUGGCUGUCCCUCUCCAUGUGAAGUGUCUUCGACGAGUCGAGUUGUUUGGGAAUGCAGCUCAAAAUGGGUGGUAAAUUUCAUCUAAAGCUAAAUAUUGGCGGGAGACCGAUAGCGCACAAGUAGAGUGAUCGAAAGAUGAAAAGCACUUUGAAAAUAGAGUUAAAAAGUACGUGAAAUUGUUGAAAGGGAAGCGCUUGAGACCAGACUCGGCCGGAGACGAUCAGCGGUCCUUCUGGGCCGUGCACUCGUCCUCGGUUGGGCCAGCAUCGGUUGAGACGGUGGGAUAAAGGUCCGGGGAAUGUGGCUCCUUUCGGGGAGUGUUAUAGCCCCGGGCGCAAUGCCGCCAGUCUCGACCGAGGACCGCGCUCUUUUGCUAGGAUGCUGGCGUAAUGGUCUUCAGCGACCCGUCUUGAAACACGGACCAAGGAGUCUAACAUCUAUGCGAGUGUUUGGGUGUCAAACCCUUGCGCGUAAUGAAAGUGAACGUGGGUGGGAACCUCUCGUAAGGGGGGCGCACCAUCGACCGAUCCUGAUGUCUUCGGAUGGAUUUGAGUAGGAGCAUAGCUGUUGGGACCCGAAAGAUGGUGAACUAUGCCUGAAUAGGGUGAAGCCAGAGGAAACUCUGGUGGAGGCUCGCAGCGGUUCUGACGUGCAAAUCGAUCGUCAAAUUUGGGUAUAGGGGCGAAAGACUAAUCGAACCAUCUAGUAGCUGGUUCCUGCCGAAGUUUCCCUCAGGAUAGCAGUAACGAUCUCAGUUUUCUG